This 856-nucleotide long non-coding RNA is filed under the name Struthio camelus australis. RNAcentral describes it as "lncRNA (ENSSCUG00000000646.1)". Lineage: Eukaryota; Metazoa; Chordata; Aves; Struthioniformes; Struthionidae. The record is from RNAcentral.
GCUCAGCCUACAAAUUUUCUAGCUGUGUCUCCAUGCAUUUAGUUUUAACAAUACAAGAGCUCCUUGCAAACUACUGAGAAGGGAUGUUUCAUUAUAUUAAUUUCUUCAGUAUAAGGCAUAGCCCUUUUGUUUGAUGAAGCAAAAUAGUUGUCCAUCUGACUUGAAGAAAUUCCCUGUCUGUGAACGUCAGUGAUUUAUAUUCUGCAGAAGUCACGGUGGAAGCUAUUAAUGAACACCAUGUCUCAUGACUGGGCCUGCUUGAUGAUGUUCUUCAGAAGGGGUAAUUUCAUGAAAAGAGAGACACUAUUCUUAAAGGAGUCUGGAAAGCUUGCUGUGACGUUAUUAAAAAUACUCUAUUUUUACCUUGAAGAUCAAGUUGGAACAGCUCCAGCGGACAAUGUAUCAGCAGUUCUCUGGAUAAAUUGUGUAGAAGGCAAUCAUUUGGAAACUCUUGCCAAGCUGGGGAGUUUCCGGGAAGUACCACACAGUCUUCAGCUAUCAUCGGGAGCUUUGCGAGGGCCGUGGAUGGAAGUUAAUCAUUCAUUAAACUACAAUAUGGCUUGCAAGGCUUGGGAAUGAGAUGUACUGCACAGCUGCAUAUAUUCCUCAUCUGCAGGUAGAAAUCCCCCUAAAGAAGCCUUUUUGGAAGACUUACCUGUGUUUACAGGUAGUAAAGAAAAUAGGACAUAAGAGAAGACACUGCAGGACUGAAUAACAAAAAUGGGAAUCUGAUAUUGUAUCCAGUGGAAUUCCAUGCUGAAAGCCUGUAAGUUAAUUCCAACCACCCUGCAGAAAGAGAACGGGAGGUAGGAAAUACUCCUAUCAAACUCCAUAUCUGGAAGUUUAGCAUAGCUUU